GUGAGGAAUUUUCCGCAAUGGGCGAAAGCCUGACGGAGCAAUGCCGCGUGAAGGAUGAAGGCCUAUGGGUUGUAAACUUCUUUUCUUAGAGAAGAAUAUUGACGGUAUCUGAGGAAUAAGCAUCGGCUAACUCUGUGCCAGCAGCCGCGGUAAGACAGAGGAUGCAAGCGUUAUCCGGAAUGAUUGGGCGUAAAGCGUCUGUAGGUGGCUUCAAAAGUCUCCUGUCAAAGAUCAGGGCUUAACCCUGGGCCGGCAGGAGAAACUCUGAGGCUAGAGUUUGGUAGGGGCAGAGGGAAUUCCCGGGGGAGGGGUGAAAUGCGUAGAGAACGAGAGGAACACCAAAGGCGAAAGCACUCUGCUGGGCCACAACUGACACUGAGAGACGAAAGCGAGGGGAGCAAAAGGGAUUAGAAACCCUGGUAGUCC
Molecule: ribosomal RNA, 426 nt
Filed under: uncultured bacterium
Lineage: Bacteria
Description: partial 16S ribosomal RNA
Rfam family: Bacterial small subunit ribosomal RNA
Source: RNAcentral